This 2035-nucleotide ribosomal RNA is filed under the name biogas fermenter metagenome. RNAcentral's name for it is "bacterial LSU rRNA". It matches the Rfam family "Bacterial large subunit ribosomal RNA", at positions 3 to 1981 of the family's 2925-position model. The record is from RNAcentral.
UCAAGCGACUAAGAGCACGCGGCGGAUGCCUUGGCGCAAGGAGCCGAAGAAGGACGCGGUCAGCUGCGAUAAUCCCCGGGGAGGCGCGACAGCCUGAGAACCGGGGGGUUCCGAAUGGGGAAACCCGGCCACCGCACGGGUGGUCACUCCCGCCUGAACACAUAGGGCGGGUAGAGGGCACCGGGCGAACUGAAACAUCUCAGUAGCCCGAGGAAGAGAAAGUAAGAACGAUUCCCUUAGUAGCGGCGAGCGAACGGGGAAGAGCCUAAACCCCUGCCGUGUCAAGCCUUACCGCGUUGCGGUAGGGGGGUUGAGGGGCCUCAUAGGGAGCGGGUAGGCGCUCCCAGGCAGUAAGAAACCUGGAAGCCAGUCGAAGACGUCUGGAAAGGCGUUCCACAGAGGGUGACAGGCCCGUAGGCGAAGGCUGAGAGGCUGCCAUGAGAGCCCCGAGUACCACGGAAUAAGAGGAAAUCUGUGGGAAUCUGGGAGAACCAUCUCCUAAGGCUAAAUACUCCUUGCGACCGAUAGCGAAGAGUACCGUGAGGGAAAGGUGAAAAGCACCCCGGGAGGGGAGUGAAAGAGAACCUGAAACCGCGUGUUUACAAGCAGUCAGAGCGCCAGGUCACUAUGUGACGGCGCGAUGGCGUGCCUUUUGCAGAAUGAACCGGCGAGUUGCUCUUGCUGGCGGGUUAAGCCACUCAGUGGCGGAGCCAAAGGGAAACCGAGUCUGAAUAGGGCGCAGGUUGGCAGGAGCAGACCCGAAACCGCGUGAUCUACCCAUGGUCAGGGUGAAGCGAGGGUAACGCCUCGUGAAGGCCCGCACCGGUGUCCAUUGAAAAGGGCUCGGAUGAACUGUGGGUAGCGGUGAAAUGCCAAUCGAACGCGGAGAUAGCUGGUUCUCCCCGAAAUGCAUAUAGGUGCAGCCUCGGGAAGAGCGUGUCGGAGGUAGAGCACUGAAUGGGCUAGGGGCCAUACCCGGUUACCAAACCCAACCAAACUCCGAAUGCCGGCACGUAUGCCCGGGAGUGAGACGGCGGGGGAUAAGCUUCGUCGUCGAAAGGGAAACAGCCCAGACCGCCGGCUAAGGUCCCAAAAGCAGGCUUAGUGGGAAAGGAAGUGCUUUGGCACAGACAACCAGGAGGUUGGCUUAGAAGCAGCCACCCUUUAAAGAGUGCGUAACAGCUUACUGGUCGAUGUCAGGGCGCGCCGACAAUGUAACGGGGCUAUGCCUGCUACCGAAGCUGCGGAUGUGGAAACACAUGGUAGGGGAGCGUCGCGUGUGCGGUGAAGCAUGAGGGUAACCCCGUGUGGAGCGCACGCGAGAGCGAAUGCCGGUAUGAGUAGCGAGAAGGGCAGUGAGAAUCUGCCCCGCCGAAAGCCUAAGGGUUCUUAAGGAAGGUUCGUCCCCUUGAGUUUAGCCGGGCCUAAGGUGAGGCCGAAAGGCGUAGCCGAUGGACAGCUGGUUUAUAUUCCAGCGCCACCGGAUGAUGAUUGAGCGAGGGGGGGACGUCCUCGCAAGCGCUGAGCCCGGGACUGGAAGACCGGGUUCUCCUGUAGGGAGUGAGCGCAGGUAAAACCGUGCUCGACAUACUCCUGGCAGGAGACGAACCAACCCGCAAGGGGCGGUGAAGCGGUGGGAGCGAGGGCCAAGAAAAGCCCCUAGUGAGUCAUCUGGUGACCGUACCGCAAACCGACACAGGUAGGCGAGGAGAAGAUCCUCAGGCGUGCGAGAGAACCCUCGUUAAGGAACUCGGCAAUCUCACCCCGUAACUUCGGGAGAAGGGGUGCCCUGGCUGGACAGGAUUGAAACAUCCUGGAUUGGCUGGGGUUGCAACAAAGAGGCUCGAGCGACUGUUUAACAAAAACACAGGUCUCUGCAAAGCCGAAAGGCGACGUAUAGGGGCUGACACCUGCCCAACGCCAGAAGGUUAAAAGGAGGGGUUAGGCGCAAGCCGAAGCUCUGAAUUGAAGCCCUGGUGAGUGGCGGCCGUAACUAUAACGGUCCUAAGGUAGCGAAAUUCCUUGUCGGGUAAGU